CCGUGCUAGGUGGGGAGGUAGUAGUUCCUUUUAACUCGAAAUCUACUAUAUGCGAGGCUGACGGAAGAACUGAGGGUAAAUAAGCUUUUAUAUUUUCUUGGCAGGUACGUUGAAAUCAAGGUCUUAUUUAACGAUAACUUUACGAACCAUGUGAGGACCUGACGGUAGCAACAUUAAGUAAAGUAGCCGUGUGAUUUAAGGUAGCUUUGAUGGAGUAUUUUGACUUGCGAGUAUAAUCGUCCGAUUUUGUUCGAAUUCUUCGGCACGG
Molecule: signal recognition particle RNA, 268 nt
Filed under: Clostridia bacterium
Lineage: Bacteria; Bacillati; Bacillota; Clostridia
Description: signal recognition particle sRNA large type
Rfam family: Bacterial large signal recognition particle RNA
About the family: The signal recognition particle (SRP) is a universally conserved ribonucleoprotein involved in the co-translational targeting of proteins to membranes. Archaeal SRP consists of a 7S RNA and homologues of the eukaryotic SRP19 and SRP54 proteins.
Source: RNAcentral